AACACGUGGGCAACCUGCCCUCAGCUCUGGGAUAACUCCAAGAAAUUGGUGCUAAUACCGGAUAUUCAUGUGACCUCGCAUGGGGUUGUGUGGAAAGUUUUUCGGCUGGGGAUGGGCCCGCGGCCUAUCAGCUUGUUGGUGGGGUGAUGGCCUACCAAGGCGACGACGGGUAGCCGGCCUGAGAGGGUGACCGGCCACACUGGGACUGAGACACGGCCCAGACUCCUACGGGAGGCAGCAGUGGGGAAUAUUGCGCAAUGGGCGGAAGCCUGACGCAGCGACGCCGCGUGAGGGAUGACGGCCUUCGGGUUGUAAACCUCUUUCAGCAGGGACGAAGCGAAAGUGACGGUACCUGCAGAAGAAGCACCGGCCAACUACGUGCCAGCAGCCGCGGUAAUACGUAGGGUGCAAGCGUUGUCCGGAAUUAUUGGGCGUAAAGAGCUCGUAGGCGGUUUGUCGCGUCGGCUGUGAAAGCCCGGAGCUCAACUCCGGGUCUGCAGUCGAUACGGGCAGACUUGAGUGUUGCAGGGGAGACUGGAAUUCCUGGUGUAGCGGUGAAAUGCGCAGAUAUCAGGAGGAACACCGGUGGCGAAGGCGGGUCUCUGGGCAACAACUGACGCUGAGGAGCGAAAGCGUGGGGAGCGAACAGGAUUAGAUACCCUGGUAGUCCACGCCGUAAACGUUGGGCGCUAGGUGUGGG
RNAcentral lists this ribosomal RNA (700 nucleotides) under Blastococcus sp. A20MGK. RNAcentral's name for it is "bacterial SSU rRNA". It matches the Rfam family "Bacterial small subunit ribosomal RNA", at positions 112 to 826 of the family's 1533-position model. Lineage: Bacteria; Bacillati; Actinomycetota; Actinomycetes; Geodermatophilales; Geodermatophilaceae. The record is from RNAcentral.